RNAcentral lists this transfer RNA (74 nucleotides) under Synechococcus phage S-CBWM1. It matches the Rfam family "tRNA". Rfam says of the family: Transfer RNA (tRNA) molecules are approximately 80 nucleotides in length. Their secondary structure includes four short double-helical elements and three loops (D, anti-codon, and T loops). The record is from Rfam by way of RNAcentral. Lineage: Duplodnaviria; Heunggongvirae; Uroviricota; Caudoviricetes.
GCCCUCGUAGCUAAGUUGGUAAAGCAGCUGGCUCUUAACCAGAAGACUCACAGGUUCGAAUCCUGUCGAGGGCA